Lampris incognitus (smalleye Pacific opah) is the source of this 456-nucleotide long non-coding RNA. RefSeq lists it as uncharacterized. The transcript is spliced from 3 exons. NCBI's taxonomy places the organism in Eukaryota, Metazoa, Chordata, Actinopteri, Lampriformes, Lampridae. The record is from RefSeq and is a predicted model, not a curated record.
CAGACACAAUUGGCCGUCUGCGGGUGGGAAGCCGGAUGUGUGAGGAGUAGGGGCAAGAAGAAGAAAAAAAGGGAGAGGCUCGGCGACAUCUUGGUUCGCCGCCAACGGCGGGAAAAUAAUCCCACUCGCGCUGCGCAAAACAAACGAUUCCCCUUCCGCCAUCUGCCGGCCUCGAGCGCUCCAGCUGUGAUACGUACAUCCGUUCAGUAUUUACAGCAGCAAAGCGAACACGGAAGUUGCACAAACAGGUGUUAUGUAGUGCUGGGAGUCUUUUUCCUCAACGUUUUUGCCUUCGUCCCUGUAUUGCGGAGAGCGCCGAGACAGUUCACCAAACUGAACGGGACGGCCCUGUUUCCAUAGAGACCGACCUGGCUGGGAAACCUCCUGCCGCCAUCAGCAUUGACCACAUCGAACACAUUGUCCCAGCUGAUCUAGGCCAAUAACAGUUUGUCUACC